This 207-nucleotide ribosomal RNA is filed under the name uncultured bacterium. RNAcentral's name for it is "partial 16S ribosomal RNA". It matches the Rfam family "Bacterial small subunit ribosomal RNA", at positions 568 to 774 of the family's 1533-position model. The record is from RNAcentral.
CGUGUAGGCGGCCAGACAGGUCCGUUGUGAAAACUGGAGGCUCAACCUCCAGCUGUCGAUGGAAACCGUUUGGCUAGAGUCCGGAAGAGGAGAAUGGAAUUCCCGGUGUAGCGGUGAAAUGCGCAGAUAUCGGGAAGAACACCCGUGGCGAAGGCGGUUCUCUGGGACGGUACUGACGCUGAGACGCGAAAGCGUGGGGAGCGAACA